RNAcentral lists this ribosomal RNA (490 nucleotides) under uncultured bacterium. RNAcentral's name for it is "partial 16S ribosomal RNA". It matches the Rfam family "Bacterial small subunit ribosomal RNA", at positions 30 to 507 of the family's 1533-position model. The record is from RNAcentral.
AUUGAACGCUGGCGGCAGGCCUAACACAUGCAAGUCGAACGGUAACAGGAAACAGCUUGCUGUUUCGCUGACGAGUGGCGGACGGGUGAGUAAUGUCUGGGAAACUGCCUGAUGGAGGGGGAUAACUACUGGAAACGGUAGCUAAUACCGCAUAACGUCGCAAGACCAAAGAGGGGGACCCUCGGGCCUCUUGCCAUCGGAUGUGCCCAGAUGGGAUUAGCUUGUUGGUGGGGUAACGGCUCACCAAGGCGACGAUCCCUAGCUGGUCUGAGAGGAUGACCAGCCACACUGGAACUGAGCCACGGUCCCGACUCCUACGGGAGGCAGCAGUGGGGAAUAUUGCACAAUGGGCGCAAGCCUGAUGCAGCCAUGCCGCGUGUAUGAAGAAGGCCUUCGGGUUGUAAAGUACUUUCAGCGGGGAGGAAGGGAGUAAAGUUAAUACCUUUGCUCAUUGACGUUACCCGCAGAAGAAGCACCGGCUAACUCCGUG